UCUGCAACCUCAGAGGUUAAAACAAUUGGCUCAAAUAAUUAUGGGAUCUGUUCCUAAAUCAAAUCUUGGCCUUGAUAACUCUGUUUUUGGUAAAGUGAAUCAAGUAAGUUUAUCUUCCUUUCUAAACCGUACUGUCCAUGCUGCCUCGCCUGCUCCAACUCCAGCUCCUGCUCCAAAUGAACCUUUGUGGCCAUCACCUUCCCCAUCACCUUCUGUUUCUUCAUCUCCAUCUCCAUCUCCAGCUCCCUUGUCCAACUGUCGUAGAUUACGGUCACAUGCUAGACAUCAUUGUGGUCCAGCUCAUGGAGAAGAACCUAGCAGCUCUCCAUCUCCUAUAGCUGAUCCACCUUCUCCUGUGACAAGCUCUGGUCCACCUUCAAGUAGUUCUGGAGUUGCAGCAAGCCCAUCA
Molecule: unclassified non-coding RNA, 409 nt
Filed under: Hevea brasiliensis (rubber tree)
Lineage: Eukaryota; Viridiplantae; Streptophyta; Magnoliopsida; Malpighiales; Euphorbiaceae
Source: RNAcentral